GAUGAAUGCUGGCGGCGUGCCUAAUACAUGCAAGUCGAGCGAACGGACGAGAAGCUUGCUUUUCUGAUGUUAGCGGCGGACGGGUGAGUAACACGUGGAUAACCUACCUAUAAGACUGGGAUAACUUCGGGAAACCGGAGCUAAUACCGGAUAAUAUUUUGAACCGCAUGGUUCAAAAGUGAAAGACGGUCUUGCUGUCACUUAUAGAUGGAUCCGCGCUGCAUUAGCUAGUUGGUAAGGUAACGGCUUACCAAGGCAACGAUGCAUAGCCGACCUGAGAGGGUGAUCGGCCACACUGGAACUGAGACACGGUCCAGACUCCUACGGGAGGCAGCAGUAGGGAAUCUUCCGCAGUGGGCGAAAGCCUGACGGAGCAACGCCGCGUGAGUGAUGAAGGUCUUCGGAUCGUAAAACUCUGUUAUUAGGGAAGAACAUAUGUGUAAGUAACUGUGCACAUCUUGACGGUACCUAAUCAGAAAGCCACGGCUAACUACGUG
Molecule: ribosomal RNA, 497 nt
Filed under: uncultured bacterium
Lineage: Bacteria
Description: partial 16S ribosomal RNA
Rfam family: Bacterial small subunit ribosomal RNA
Source: RNAcentral